CGGACAAUCAAAUUGUCUGUAAAGAAUGAUAAUUUUUCCUUCUUCUCCAAUAGUAACAUUUCUUAUUUUUCUUUUCUGCCCCUCUUCUUUGGCUAUAACUUUAGAAUAUUGUUAAACAAAUAAUUGUGAUAACAGUAAUCUUUAUCUUGCUCCUACCUUUAAUAAGAAUGCUUCUGCCAUUUUACUUUUAAGUAUGAUGUUGGCUGUUGCUUUCAGAGAGAAAUCUUAAAUCCUAUCAAGGUAACACAUUUCUAUUACUAGAUCACAAAGAGUUUUUUCAAUUGAUCAUCAAUGUUCAAUUUAUAUUUUUUGUCUUGAAUAGACCUACCAGGACACUGUGUGUUUUACUGUGAAAAGGAUGUUCACGUUUUCAAUCCAAUGUUUUUAACUGGACACUGGCCUGCCGCUUAGGACUCAGCUGCUUCUCCGGAGAGGGAGGCUUUGUUCUACCCUGCUACACAGGACACUAAAACCCCCUGUUUUGGGUCAGGCAGGCCAUCUACAGUCUGACAUUGCUCUUUCCGAUGAGCUACUAAGCACCCACACAACUGUUUCAAUUUGUGUUGCCUCAAAGUUACUGUCUCCAAACCUAUAUUGCUUACUAGCAUUACACUUAGGCUUAGAGUAUUUUUUACGUGUUUGUUCCCUAGUUAGUUAAGGGGACACAAUGACAUUGAUUUAUAUCCAUGAUCCAUGCUAGUUGUUUCUCUCCUCUUUAAUCUUUGGACACUGGUGAUUCCAGCCCCAACAUCUCCCAAUGCUUAGCUUACUUGGCUUUUUUUUUUUUUAAUCUUGAUAUAAAAACUCUGUGGAUUCUCAUACUUCCUUAAAAUAGAAUAUGAUUUCUGUUUCACAAUCUAGUUAGCUGAUUUCAUGUAUUGUGUAAAUUUCUUUUUUAUUUUCUGACAGUCAGAAACAUGUUUUCCCUCAAGGAAGUGAGUAGGUACAGGGGACUCCAUGGAGCCCUUCGAAUUUUCAACUGUGUUUAUACCUUCUAGGUGCCUCUCCCCAUUCCCAAAGUAGCCAGUCCACCUCUUCAUCAAUUUCCUUAUUCCAUUCCCAUCAUCAACCCCCUCUUUCAGCAAAUGAAACUUGCCUCCUACUUCACUGAGAAAACCAAGGUGAGAAUUCCCAUUCCUAAAAUCUAUGACUAAUUCUGGAGUCCUCCCUCCACUUUCCCUAGUUGACACCCUUCCCUACAGUUUCAUGCAAAAAACAAAAAUCACCUUUCACCACAAGACAUCUUCACCCAUUCCAUCAUCUCUGUAUCACCUACCUCUGAUGUAUUAGCAACCUCUCCCUCUUUGCAGGCUUGGAAACUUCACCUUCCUUUAAGUCUUCAAUCUAGAUUUAAAUCUCUGUAUCUUCUCCCUACUUUCUCUCUCUCUUUCCAGUCAUAAAUGUGGAAACCCAGCAGUCCCUUUGCUGGCUCAUCUUCCCCUGCCUCCAUCUUAAAUGUUGACACCCUCUCUUGACUCCAGGUUUUACUUUUAGCACUGUUUUUAUUUCAUGACACGUUGAGCGAGAUUGCCCCCAGGUAAUCGCAUUCACUUCCUGAACUUCCACUCGUCUAUGUGCUGCUGACUCCAGUGUUCUCAUUUCUAUUUCAAACCCCACUCUUAAAUCUCACACUGUCUACUGGACCACCUCAACUUGUGUUUCCACCAGCACCUCAAAACAACAUGGACAAAACCCCAUGAUCAGAGUCGUCCCUCCCCCACCAAAUCUGCCCUUCUACCAACUCUCUUAUUGCCACACGUGACAUCACUGUCCACCCAGACACUCAAACCAGCGUGGGAGCCACCCCAGCCUCUCCCUCUCCUGCACAUCCAGUCAAUGCCUCCAUUCAGCCUGUCUUCGCUCCUUGAGUUCUCCUGUGCUAUUCUUCUCUCUCCCACAGUCCCUGCCGCAGCUCUGACCCUAAGCAUUUCUCUUGGAACUCCUGGUAUAGCCUCUGUGCUCUGAAUGUUUUUCUCUUUUAUGCACCAAGCUUUUUCUGACCUCUGGGCUUUCUUUCCCACAUACUGCCCACUGUUCUCUCUCCUUAAAACACUUGUCUGCCCUGAUCUUGACCUUGUCAAACAUUCCUGAACAUAAUCAUCAACGGAGACCUUCUUUAAAAAAAAAGAAAGAAAAAGUAGUUCUAUUUAAAUCACUUCUGUGCUUAAAACCCUCUAACAGCCUCCAUUGCCCUUGAGAUACAGUUUAAUCUCCUUAGCAUGGCAUACAGAUUCUCUGCUCUAGACCUUUCCCUUGCCAAACUUCUGCCCACAUCCUGUGUUCUUGUCGCAGAAAAUUUCUCAUAUCUCCCCAUCUCUGUCAUCCACAUUGCUAUUCUAUGUUAUUGUGAACAUAUCUUUACCUAAUUUUUUUUUUUACUGGUAAUGCUUCUACAACCUCCUCCCCCACCCAACUAUCUAGCAAACCAUCUAUUUAUCUUUUUUAAAUGAUCUCAAAAAUAACCUACUACUUCUUUUUUUGCAGUCUGGCAUAGACUUAUGUCACAGCCUUUUUAAUCGACAGAUCUGUUUUCGGAUCUGUUUGUCUCCCUGUAAAUAACAGUACACAAGCUUGUUAUGGCCAUUUCCUCAAAGGCAGAGAGACAAACAUACACAGGUAAC
This 2621-nucleotide long non-coding RNA is filed under the name Homo sapiens (human). RNAcentral describes it as "non-protein coding lnc-PROX1-3:1". Lineage: Eukaryota; Metazoa; Chordata; Mammalia; Primates; Hominidae. The record is from RNAcentral.